GGGGGCGACACGGUUUCGACGAGGAUUGCAAAGCAAAGAUGGGCAUACCGAGAUCUCAAACUCUCGUAAAACAUUGAAAACUAAUAGUCGCAAACGACGAAAACUUUGCUCUAGCUGCGUAAAGCUGAGCCGUUGCAACGGUUGGUCAAUGGGCCGUGUGGGGUAAAAUCCACCGCAAUGUCAUAGACAUUGACUGGUUUGUCGUUGGGUUACUUAACUACAAAUAAGAUCUAAGGUAACUAGUUUUGAUCAGCCUGUCUGUCGGCUAAAUCAAAAACGAAAUAAAAUAGACCAGACUAAGUAUGUAGAACACUUUGUAGAGGAUUUUCGGACGGGGGUUCGAUUCCCCCCGCUUCCACCA
This 361-nucleotide transfer-messenger RNA is filed under the name Neisseriaceae. Its description in RNAcentral is "QFNR01 sp016864895 Standard tmRNA". It matches the Rfam family "transfer-messenger RNA". From Rfam's summary of the family: Bacterial tmRNA, also known as 10Sa RNA or SsrA, is named for its dual tRNA and mRNA-like properties. Its role is to liberate the mRNA from a stalled ribosome. The record is from RNAcentral. Lineage: Bacteria; Pseudomonadati; Pseudomonadota; Betaproteobacteria; Neisseriales. RNAcentral also lists the same sequence under 1 other name.